RNAcentral lists this ribosomal RNA (458 nucleotides) under uncultured Rikenellaceae bacterium. Its description in RNAcentral is "bacterial SSU rRNA". It matches the Rfam family "Bacterial small subunit ribosomal RNA", at positions 925 to 1382 of the family's 1533-position model. Lineage: Bacteria; Pseudomonadati; Bacteroidota; Bacteroidia; Bacteroidales; Rikenellaceae. The record is from RNAcentral.
ACAAGCGAGGAACAUGUGGUUUAAUUCGAUGAUACGCGAGGAACUUACCUGGGCUAGGACGCAAUCGGAAUCAGGCCGAAAGGCCUGCGCCAGCGAUGGCCGGUUGCGAGGUGCUGCAUGGUUGUCGUUCAGCUCGUGCCGUGAGGUGUCGGGUUAAGGUCCCAUAACGAGCGCAACCCCUACCUGCUAGUUGCCAGCGGGUCAUGCCGGGGACUCUAGCGGAACUGCCAGCGUAAGCUGCGAGGAAGGUGGGGAUGACGUCAAAUCAGCACGGCCCUUACGUCCAGGGCUACACACGUGUUACAAUGGCCAGUACAGAGGGCAGCCACCCCGCGAGGGGGCGCUAAUCCUAAAAGCUGGUCCCAGUUCGGAUCGGAGUCUGCAACCCGACUCCGUGAAGCUGGAUUCGCUAGUAAUCGCGCAUCAGCCACGGCGCGGUGAAUACGUUCCCGGGCCUU